GGGUCGUGUCCCUCCAUUUUGGAUUCCUUCUCGCUGUCUGAGACUCAAUUGUGCAAAUAUGAGUGCGCGAGUAAGAUCAAGAUCUCAAAGAAGGGAGAUGGAAAAGUCUUCUAAGCUGGAUGAACCUGUGGCUGCUAAGCAAUCAAGUGAAAAAAACAUCAGAAGAAAAGGAACCAGCAACCAAGAAUCCAGAUAUUGAGCUUGGACAAGAGAAAGAAG
Long non-coding RNA from Nyctereutes procyonoides (raccoon dog), 219 nucleotides. RefSeq lists it as uncharacterized. NCBI's taxonomy places the organism in Eukaryota, Metazoa, Chordata, Mammalia, Carnivora, Canidae. The record is from RefSeq and is a predicted model, not a curated record. The transcript has 3 exons.